UACGUAGGGUGCAAGCGUUAAUCGGAAUUACUGGGCGUAAAGCGUACGCAGGCGGCUAUGUAAGACAGGUGUGAAAUCCCCGGGCCUAACCUGGGAACUGCAUUUGUGACUGCAUAGCUAGAGUCCGUCAGAGGGGGGUGGAAUUCCACGUGUAGCAGUUAAAUGCGUAGAGAUGUGGAGGAACACCGAUGGCGAAGGCAGCCCCCUGGGUCAAGAUUGACGCUCAUGCACGAAAGCGUGGGGAGCAAACAGG
RNAcentral lists this ribosomal RNA (253 nucleotides) under uncultured bacterium. Its description in RNAcentral is "partial 16S ribosomal RNA". It matches the Rfam family "Bacterial small subunit ribosomal RNA", at positions 524 to 776 of the family's 1533-position model. The record is from RNAcentral.